CCUACGGGAGGCAGCAGUGAGGAAUUUUCCGCAAUGGGCGAAAGCCUGACGGAGCAAUACCGCGUGAGGGAUGAAGGAUUUUGGUCUGUAAACCUCUUUUCUCAAGAAAGAAGUUCUGACGGUACUUGAGGAAUAAGCAUCGGCUAACUCCGUGCCAGCAGCCGCGGUAAUACGGGGGAUGCAAGCGUUAUCCGGAAUGAUUGGGCGUAAAGCGCCUGUAGGUUGUUUAUUAAGUCCGUUGUUAAAGCCUAGGGCUUAACCCUAGAAAAGCAAUGGAAACUAGUAGACUAGAGUAUGGCAGGGGUAGAGGGAAUUUCUAGUGUAGCGGUGAAAUGCGUAGAUAUUAGAAAGAACACCGGUGGCGAAAGCGCUCUACUGGACCAUUACUGACACUCAGAGGCGAAAGCUAGGGUAGCAAAAGGGAUUAGAUACCCCUGUAGUCCUAGCCGUAAACGAUGGAUACUAGAUGUUGUGCAUUAUGUACAGUAUCGUAGCUAACGCGUUAAGUAUCCCGCCUGGGGAGUACGCUCGCAAGGGUGAAACUUAAAGGAAUUGACGGNUGAGAGNGCGAGCGACACGAGGGAGUUAGG
This 590-nucleotide ribosomal RNA is filed under the name uncultured bacterium. RNAcentral's name for it is "bacterial SSU rRNA". It matches the Rfam family "Bacterial small subunit ribosomal RNA", at positions 338 to 950 of the family's 1533-position model. The record is from RNAcentral.